Molecule: ribosomal RNA, 980 nt
Filed under: uncultured Bacteroidota bacterium
Lineage: Bacteria; Pseudomonadati; Bacteroidota
Description: bacterial SSU rRNA
Rfam family: Bacterial small subunit ribosomal RNA
Source: RNAcentral
GAGUUUGAUUCUGGCUCAGGAUGAACGCUAGCGGGAGGCCUAACACAUGCAAGCCGAGGGAGAAUUACUUUUCGGAGUAAGGACACCGGCGAACGGGUGAGUAACGCGUAUGCAACUUGCCCUUAUCUGGGGGAUAACCCGGGGAAACUCGGACUAAUAUCCCAUAAUAAUAUGAAUAGCAUUAUUUAUAUUUAAAAGAUUUAUCGGAUAAGGAUAGGCAUGCGUAGGAUUAGUUAGUUGGUGAGGUAACGGCUCACCAAGACGAUGAUCCUUAGGGGGCCUGAGAGGGUGAUCCCCCACACUGGUACUGAGACACGGACCAGACUCCUACGGGAGGCAGCAGUGAGGAAUAUUGGACAAUGGGUGAGAGCCUGAUCCAGCCAUCCCGCGUGCAGGAAGACGGCCCUAUGGGUUGUAAACUGCUUUUAUACAGGAAUAAACCUACUUACGUGUGAGUAGUUGAAGGUACUGUAAGAAUAAGCAUCGGCUAACUCCGUGCCAGCAGCCGCGGUAAUACGGAGGAUGCAAGCGUUAUCCGGAUUUAUUGGGUUUAAAGGGUCCGUAGGCGGGCUAAUAAGUCAGUGGUGAAAGCCGGCAGCUUAACUGUCGAACUGCCAUUGAUACUGUUAGUCUUGAGUGAAUUUGAAGUUGCCGGAAUAUGUAGUGUAGCGGUGAAAUGCAUAGAUAUUACAUAGAACACCUAUUGCGAAGGCAGGUAACUAAGAUUUAACUGACGCUGAUGGACGAAAGCGUGGGGAGCGAACAGGAUUAGAUACCCUGGUAGUCCACGCAGUAAACGAUGAUUACUCGUUUUCGGUACGUAGUAUCGGAGACCAAGCGAAAGUGAUNAAGUAAUCCACCUGGGGGAGUACGUUCGCAAGAAUGAAACUCAAAGGAAUUGACGGGGGGCCCCGCCACAAGCCGGUGGAAGCAUGUGGGUUUUAAUUNCGAUGAAUACCCCGAGGNAACCUUUACCAAGG